AGGGCAUGAAGGUGGUGGAGAUUGAAAAGUGUCAGAAAGACAUCAAGAAGCUGCGUGAGGAGAUGGCCUCCAGAAAUAACAGCAGCUUCUUGGAUGACAACAAGAAACUGGCGCCAAGAAGAGACGUACCCUCCUAUCCAAAGUACCUGCUCUCAAAGCAAACCAUAGACGCUCUCAGGAAACCUGCCUUCGACAUCUGGCUGUGGGAAUCCAAUGAGGUAACCACCC
Molecule: long non-coding RNA, 228 nt
Organism: Clupea harengus (Atlantic herring)
Lineage: Eukaryota; Metazoa; Chordata; Actinopteri; Clupeiformes; Clupeidae
Gene: pde9aa
Exons: 3
Source: RefSeq, a predicted model, not a curated record